Molecule: ribosomal RNA, 348 nt
Filed under: uncultured Helicobacter sp.
Lineage: Bacteria; Pseudomonadati; Campylobacterota; Epsilonproteobacteria; Campylobacterales; Helicobacteraceae
Description: bacterial SSU rRNA
Rfam family: Bacterial small subunit ribosomal RNA
Source: RNAcentral
GACGGGUAUCCGGCCUGAGAGGGUGAACGGACACACUGGAACUGAGACACGGUCCAGACUCCUACGGGAGGCAGCAGUAGGGAAUAUUGCUCAAUGGGGGAAACCCUGAAGCAGCAACGCCGCGUGGAGGAUGAAGGUUUUAGGAUUGUAAACUCCUUUUGUUAGAGAAGAUUAUGACGGUAUCUAACGAAUAAGCACCGGCUAACUCCGUGCCAGCAGCCGCGGUAAUACGGAGGGUGCAAGCGUUACUCGGGAUCACUGGGCGUAAAGAGUGCGCAGGCGGGAUAGCAAGUCAGAUGUGAAAUACUAUGGCUUAACCAUAGAACUGCAUUUGAAACUGUUAUUCUA